RNAcentral lists this ribosomal RNA (778 nucleotides) under Pseudomonas sp. Its description in RNAcentral is "bacterial SSU rRNA". It matches the Rfam family "Bacterial small subunit ribosomal RNA", at positions 208 to 965 of the family's 1533-position model. The record is from RNAcentral. Lineage: Bacteria; Pseudomonadati; Pseudomonadota; Gammaproteobacteria; Pseudomonadales; Pseudomonadaceae.
ACUUCGGACCUCACGCUAUCAGAUGAGCCUAGGUCGGAUUAGCUAGUUGGUGGGGUAAUGGCCCACCAAGGCGACGAUCCGUAACUGGUCUGAGAGGAUGAUCAGUCACACUGGAACUGAGACACGGUCCAGACUCCUACGGGAGGCAGCAGUGGGGAAUAUUGGACAAUGGGCGAAAGCCUGAUCCAGCCAUGCCGCGUGUGUGAAGAAGGUCUUCGGAUUGUAAAGCACUUUAAGUUGGGAGGAAGGGCAGUAAGUUAAUACCUUGCUGUUUUGACGUUACCAACAGAAUAAGCACCGGCUAACUUCGUGCCAGCAGCCGCGGUAAUACGAAGGGUGCAAGCGUUAAUCGGAAUUACUGGGCGUAAAGCGCGCGUAGGUGGUUCAGCAAGUUGGAUGUGAAAGCCCCGGGCUCAACCUGGGAAUUGCAUCCAAAACUACUGAGCUAGAGUACGGUAGAGGGUGGUGGAAUUUCCUGUGUAGCGGUGAAAUGCGUAGAUAUAGGAAGGAACACCAGUGGCGAAGGCGACCACCUGGACUGAUACUGACACUGAGGUGCGAAAAGCGUGGGGAGCAAACAGGAUUAGAUACUCUGGUAGUCCACGCCGUAAACGAUGUCGACUAGCCGUUGGGAUCCUUGAGAUCUUAGUGGCGCAGCUAACGCGAUAAGUCGACCGCCUGGGGAGUACGGCCCGCAAGGGUAAAAACUCAAAUGAAUUGACGGGGUGCCCGCACCAACCGAUGGAGCCUUUUGUUUUUAAUUUCGAAGCAACGGAAA